AUAUAAAAGAAAAUAUAAUAAAUACAUAACAAAAUUAGAAAAAAAAACAUAAAUAAAAAAUAUAUAAAAAUUUAUUUAAAAAACAAAAAGGACAUUGAUUAUAAUGUAUAUUAAGUAUAAAAUUACGAAAAAUAAUUUGAAGAUGAAGAACAAUUUUAAUAAAUCAAUAAAAGCAACCUAGAAAAUAACACAAAAAAGAAACACAUGAAAGAAAAUGAAUAAUUUUGAAAUACUAAAAUAAAAUUGAGGAUAUUUAAAUAAAUAUAUAAAAAAUUAAAUAAUAAAAAUCAUAUUAACUCCCCUCCCCUCCAAAUCCUCUAUUUGAAGGAUACAAAA
This 336-nucleotide long non-coding RNA is filed under the name Lathyrus oleraceus (garden pea). RNAcentral's name for it is "Pisum sativum (pea) long non-coding RNA (PSAT_LNC023332)". Lineage: Eukaryota; Viridiplantae; Streptophyta; Magnoliopsida; Fabales; Fabaceae. The record is from RNAcentral.